AGGGGGCGUCUAUACAUGCAGUCGAGCGGACCGACGGGAGCUUGCUCCCUUAGGUCAGCGGCGGACGGGUGAGUAACACGUGGGUAACCUGCCUGUAAGACUGGGAUAACUCCGGGAAACCGGGGCUAAUACCGGAUGCUUGAUUGAACCGCAUGGUUCAAUCAUAAAAGGUGGCUUUUAGCUACCACUUACAGAUGGACCCGCGGCGCAUUAGCUAGUUGGUGAGGUAACGGCUCACCAAGGCGACGAUGCGUAGCCGACCUGAGAGGGUGAUCGGCCACACUGGGACUGAGACACGGCCCAGACUCCUACGGGAGGCAGCAGUAGGGAAUCUUCCGCAAUGGACGAAAGUCUGACGGAGCAACGCCGCGUGAGUGAUGAAGGUUUUCGGAUCGUAAAACUCUGUUGUUAGGGAAGAACAAGUACCGUUCGAAUAGGGCGGUACCUUGACGGUACCUAACCAGAAAGCCACGGCUAACUACGUGCCAGCAGCCGCGGUAAUACGUAGGUGGCAAGCGUUGUCCGGAAUUAUUGGGCGUAAAGCGCGCGCAGGCGGUUUCUUAAGUCUGAUGUGAAAGCCCCCGGCUCAACCGGGGAGGGUCAUUGGAAACUGGGGAACUUGAGUGCAGAAGAGGAGAGUGGAAUUCCACGUGUAGCGGUGAAAUGCGUAGAGAUGUGGAGGAACACCAGUGGCGAAGGCGACUCUCUGGUCUGUAACUGACGCUGAGGCGCGAAAGCGUGGGGAGCGAACAGGAUUAGAUACCCUGGUAGUCCACGCCGUAAACGAUGAGUGCUAAGUGUUAGAGGGUUUCCGCCCUUUAGUGCUGCAGCAAACGCAUUAAGCACUCCGCCUGGGGAGUACGGUCGCAAGACUGAAACUCAAAGGAAUUGACGGGGGCCCGCACAAGCGGGGGAGCAGGUGGUUUAAUUCGAAGCCACCCGAAGAACCUUACCAGGUCUUGACUCCUCUGACAACCCUAAAAAAGGGCUUCCCUUCG
This 998-nucleotide ribosomal RNA is filed under the name uncultured Bacillus sp. RNAcentral's name for it is "bacterial SSU rRNA". It matches the Rfam family "Bacterial small subunit ribosomal RNA", at positions 37 to 1022 of the family's 1533-position model. The record is from RNAcentral. Lineage: Bacteria; Bacillati; Bacillota; Bacilli; Caryophanales; Bacillaceae.